Molecule: ribosomal RNA, 237 nt
Filed under: uncultured bacterium
Lineage: Bacteria
Description: partial 16S ribosomal RNA
Rfam family: Bacterial small subunit ribosomal RNA
Source: RNAcentral
UGAGCAAUCUGCCCUUCUCUUCGGAAUAAGCGUUGGAAACGACGUCUAAUGCCGAAUACGACCUCCUUUCGCAUGAUCGGAGGUGGAAAGCUCCGGCGGAGAAGGAUGAGCUCGCGGCCUAUCAGCUAGUUGGUGUGGGUAAUGGCCCACCAAGGCGACGACGGGUAGCCGGCCUGAGAGGGCGACCGGCCACACUGGGACUGAGACACGGCCCAGACCUCCGUACGGGAGGNAGCG